RNAcentral lists this ribosomal RNA (301 nucleotides) under uncultured bacterium. RNAcentral describes it as "partial 16S ribosomal RNA". It matches the Rfam family "Bacterial small subunit ribosomal RNA", at positions 509 to 807 of the family's 1533-position model. The record is from RNAcentral.
CAGUCGCCACGGUAAUACGAGGGGGGCAAGCGUUGUUCGGAAUUAUUGGGCGUAAAGGGUGCGUAGGCGGUUUGACAAGUUCUAUGUGAAAUCUAUGGGCUCAACCCAUAGUCUGCAUGGAAAACUGUCAGGCUUGAGGAUGGGAGAGGUGAGUGGAAUUUCCGGUGUAGCGGUGAAAUGCGUAGAUAUCGGAAGGAACACCUGUGGCGAAAGCGGCUCACUGGACCAUUUCUGACGCUGAUGCACGAAAGCUAGGGGAGCAAACAGGAUUAGAUACCCCCGUAGUCCCUGUCUCUUAUAC